UGAAACGGAAAGAGGAGAUGGAUGAUGCGGCAAAGACGGCAGAGGGAACGUCAUAUCGUAUGAAACAUUGAGAGAAGAAGGAACGCGCAGUGGAGAGGAGAGAGAGAACACGUUGCAGAGAGAAGAGAGGAAACGAUCCGUACAAAAACGCGGAGAAGAGAAGGGCGCCAGUUUGGUUCAUAGAGAAAAAUAAUAGUUCGGUUAAAAGGUGUGGUUCGGUUCAGGGAAUCGUAAAAAACAUGGAAAGGUCAAAGUGGUGGUUCGGUUCGGAGGUGGUUUAAAAAAGAGAUAGAUGAGGGAGAGGAAAAGAGUGAUCUGGUUUAGAAAAAAAAAAGAACGGUUUAGUUCAAAUAGACAGCUCGAUUCAAAACAUG
Molecule: long non-coding RNA, 374 nt
Filed under: Ananas comosus (pineapple)
Lineage: Eukaryota; Viridiplantae; Streptophyta; Magnoliopsida; Poales; Bromeliaceae
Description: long non-coding RNA (ACOM_LNC016464)
Source: RNAcentral